GGAGAUGUGGCUCAGGGGUUAAGAGCACUGACUGCUCUUCCAGAGGUUUUGGGUUCAAUUCCCAGCACCCA
This 71-nucleotide transfer RNA is filed under the name Mesocricetus auratus (golden hamster). It matches the Rfam family "tRNA". From Rfam's summary of the family: Transfer RNA (tRNA) molecules are approximately 80 nucleotides in length. Their secondary structure includes four short double-helical elements and three loops (D, anti-codon, and T loops). Lineage: Eukaryota; Metazoa; Chordata; Mammalia; Rodentia; Cricetidae. The record is from Rfam by way of RNAcentral.